CAAUGGACGAAAGUCUGACGGAGCAACGCCGCGUGAGUGAUGAAGGUUUUCGGAUCGUAAAGCUCUGUUGUUAGGGAAGAACAAGUACCGUUCGAAUAGGGCGGUACCUUGACGGUACCUAACCAGAAAGCCACGGCUAACUACGUGCCAGCAGCCGCGGUAAUACGUAGGUGGCAAGCGUUGUCCGGAAUUAUUGGGCGUAAAGGGCUCGCAGGCGGUUUCUUAAGUCUGAUGUGAAAGCCCCCGGCUCAACCGGGGAGGGUCAUUGGAAACUGGGGAACUUGAGUGCAGAAGAGGAGAGUGGAAUUCCACGUGUAGCGGUGAAAUGCGUAGAGAUGUGGAGGAACACCAGUGGCGAAGGCGACUCUCUGGUCUGUAACUGACGCUGAGGAGCGAAAGCGUGGGGAGCGAACAGGAUUAGAUACCCUGGUAGUCCACGCCGUAAACGAUGAGUGCUAAGUGUUAGGGGGUUUCCGCCCCUUAGUGCUGCAGCUAACGCAUUAAGCACUCCGCCUGGGGAGUACGGUCGCAAGACUGAAACUCAAAGGAAUUGACGGGGGCCCGCACAAGCGGUGGAGCAUGUGGUUUAAUUCGAAGCAACGCGAAGAACCUUACCAGGUCUUGACAUCCUCUGACAAUCCUAGAGAUAGGACGUCCCCUUCGGGGGCAGAGUGACAGGUGGUGCAUGGUUGUCGUCAGCUCGUGUCGUGAGAUGUUGGGUUAAGUCCCGCAACGAGCGCAACCCUUGAUCUUAGUUGCCAGCAUUCAGUUGGGCACUCUAAGGUGACUGCCGGUGACAAACCGGAGGAAGGUGGGGAUGACGUCAAAUCAUCAUGCCCCUUAUGACCUGGGCUACACACGUGCUACAAUGGACAGAACAAAGGGCAGCGAAACCGCGAGGUUAAGCCAAUCCCACAAAUCUGUUCUCAGUUCGGAUCGCAGUCUGCAACUCGACUGCGUGAAGCUGGAAUCGCUAGUAA
Molecule: ribosomal RNA, 980 nt
Filed under: Bacillus subtilis
Lineage: Bacteria; Bacillati; Bacillota; Bacilli; Caryophanales; Bacillaceae
Description: bacterial SSU rRNA
Rfam family: Bacterial small subunit ribosomal RNA
Source: RNAcentral